RNAcentral lists this long non-coding RNA (500 nucleotides) under Podarcis lilfordi (Lilford's wall lizard). The record is from RNAcentral. Lineage: Eukaryota; Metazoa; Chordata; Lepidosauria; Squamata; Lacertidae.
GCACCCCCCAAGUUAUUAUGUAGCGAUCAAAACUGUGCUCAGCAUUUGAAACUCAAGCUGGUGUUUUCUGUUUUUGGCUUUCGACAGGAAACAAUGUUCCAGUCCCUGAAGCCGUUUCCUCUUCUGAGCUCACCUGAAAUUAAUACUUUGUUCUGCCAGAUGGGAAUCUCGCUGAGUACCUUGAAAUGGGGUCACACAACCAGUUUCUCUCUUCUUCCACUGCCUAGGAUUAGUAAGCAAGAGGCACCCUGAAUUUUGCAACUUAAUAGCAUAUGCAUGUUAUUUCCUAUAGCACUUCCUGUAAAAAAAAAAGAAGAAGAAAAGAGGUAUCCAGGAGAAAACAGAGUGGAUACAUAUUUUAAGAGGAUUGGAUACAAAAUAAGUUUGAAAUGGCUGGCUUGUUGUGUUCAUUAUUUAUUUGCUUUUAAAGCCUUUACAAAAAACCGACUUUCCUUGUACAAACCUACAGUUUAGCGGCUGACCUCAGAUUAAUAAAAUGC